Molecule: unclassified non-coding RNA, 342 nt
Filed under: soil metagenome
Description: partial contains 5.8S ribosomal RNA, internal transcribed spacer 2, and large subunit ribosomal RNA
Rfam family: 5.8S ribosomal RNA (bases 1-119)
Source: RNAcentral
GAUGAAGAAGCAGCGAAAUGCGAUAAGUAAUGUGAAUUGCAGAAUUCAGUGAAUCAUCGAGUUUUUGAACGCAUAUUGCGCCCUCUGGUAUUCCGGGGGGCAUGCCUGUUCGAGCGUCAUUAAAUAACCCUCAAGCAUAGCUUGGUGUUGGGCUUUUUUACGUCCUUGACUGGGAUGGGCCUAAAAAUUAGUGGCGAUGGCUUUUUUACUUUCAAGCGUAGUAAAUCUCGUCUUGCUAAAGAGGAAAAAGAUUUUUUUUCUGCCACAACUUUUAACAUUUAAAGUUGACCUCGGAUCAGGUAGGAUUACCCGCUGAACUUAAGCAUAUCAAUAAGCGGAGGA